RNAcentral lists this ribosomal RNA (1484 nucleotides) under metagenome. RNAcentral's name for it is "bacterial LSU rRNA". It matches the Rfam family "Bacterial large subunit ribosomal RNA", at positions 1188 to 2659 of the family's 2925-position model. The record is from RNAcentral.
UCUACACCGAAGCAAUGGAUUGUCGGCACCCUUCGGGGUGGCGGCAGUGGUAGGAGAGCGCUGUAGGUCAGAUACAAGCCGUACCGUAAGGAGCGGUGUUGGGGCCUACAGGUGAUUAUGCCGGAAUGAGUAACGAUAAAGCAGGUGAGAAUCCUGCUCGCCGAAAGCCUAAGGUUUCCUGGGGAAGGUAAAUCCGCCCAGGGUUAGCCGGUACCUUAGUCGAGGCCGAAAGGCGUAGACGAUGGAUAGCAGGUCAAUAUUCCUGCGCCACUCCAGUGGACCGAUGAGGGGACGACGUUUGAAGGGUGAGCGGUACGAUUAGAAAUGUCCGUGGACCCUUGCGGGGUGGGUGUAGGAAAAUCCGCACCCACAAGCCUCGCUUGGGGACCGACCGCUUUUACGUUCGGGUAGUCAUCUGCAGGACGUCCAAGAAAAGCCUCUAAGGGUUGAAGCUGGAGUGACCGUACUAAAACUGACACAGGUAGGCGAGACGAGUAGUCUUAGGCGCUCGGGAGAACACUGGUUAAGGAACUCUGCAAAUUGGCCCCGUAAGUUCGCGAUAAGGGGUGCCUCUGGGGGUGUUAAAGCUCCUGGGGGUCACAGUAAAUCGGCUUCAGCGACUGUUUAUCAAAAACACAGGACUCUGCGAACUCGUAAGAGGAUGUAUAGAGUCUGACGCCUGCCCGCUGCCGGUAGGUUAAGGAAGAGGGUUAGCCGCAAGGCGAAGCUCGCGACCGAAGCCCCGGUAAACGGCGGCCGUAACUAUGACGGUCCUAAGGUAGCGAAGUUCCUUGUCGGGUAAGUUCCGACCUGCAUGAAUGGCGUAACGACUGAAGCACUGUCUCAACCAGUGACCCGGUGAAAUUGUAGCCGUGGUGAAGAUGCCACGUUCCCGCAGCGAGACGGAAAGACCCCGUGAACCUUCACUGUAGGCUGAUAUUGGGCUGUGGUAUGUCUUGUGUAGGAUAGGUGGGAGGCGUCGAUCUGGGCACGCAAGUGUUCAGGGAGCCAACCUUGAAAUACCACCCUGGACCUGCUUUAGUUCUAACUCUGAUCCCGUGAAUCCGGGCAGAGGACAGUGUCAGUUGGGCAGUUUGACUGGGGCGGUCUCCUCCGAAAGAGUAACGGAGGAGUCCAAAGGUACCCUCAGCCUGGUUGGCAAUCAGGCUUCGAGCGCAAAGGUAUAAGGGUGCUUAACUGCGAGACUUAUCAGUCGAGCAGAUACGAAAGUAGGGCUUAGUGAUCCGGCGGUGCUGGAUGGAAAGGCCGUCGCUCAUCAGAUAAAAGGUACUCCGGGGAUAACAGGCUUAUCGCUUCCGAGCGUCCAUAGCGGCGAAGCGGUUUGGCACCUCGAUGUCGGCUCAUCACAUCCUGGGGGUGGAGAAGCUCCCAAGGGUUUGGCUGUUCGCCAAUGAAAGUGGUACGUGAGCUGGGUUCAGACCGUCGUGAGACAGGUCGGUCCCUAUCUGCUGUGGGCGCACGAA